RNAcentral lists this RNase P RNA (415 nucleotides) under Ahrensia sp. RNAcentral describes it as "RNase P RNA component class A". It matches the Rfam family "Bacterial RNase P class A". Rfam says of the family: Ribonuclease P (RNase P) is a ubiquitous endoribonuclease, found in archaea, bacteria and eukarya as well as chloroplasts and mitochondria. The record is from RNAcentral. Lineage: Bacteria; Pseudomonadati; Pseudomonadota; Alphaproteobacteria; Hyphomicrobiales; Ahrensiaceae.
CCAGCCGGCCGGGCGGCCGCGCCCUGCCAGAUGCCGAAAGGCGGCGGGCGAGGAAAGUCCGGGCUCCAUGGAGACACGGUGCCGGAUAACGUCCGGCGGGGGUGACCCUAGGGAAAGUGCCACAGAAAGCAAACCGCCCCGCCUGCCUUUCUCGCCGAAACGGCGACGGGAAAGCAGGCGGGGCAAGGGUGAAAGGGUGGGGUAAGAGCCCACCGCAUGGCUGGCAACAGGCAUGGCAUGGCAAACCCCACCGGGAGCAAGACCGAAUAGGGACGGCGCAGGGCUUCGGCCCGAUCCUGUUUCCGGGAUGCCGUCCGGGUAGGUUGCUAGAGGCGGGCAGCAAUGUCCGUCCCAGAGGAAUGGCCGUCACGGUGGCGACACCGUACAGAACCCGGCUUACAGGCCGGCUGGUUUU